GACGAACGCUGGCGGCGUGCUUAACACAUGCAAGUCGAGCGGUAAGGCCCUUUCGGGGGUACACGAGCGGCGAACGGGUGAGUAACACGUGGGUGACCUGCCCUCAGCUCUGGGAUAAGCCUGGGAAACCGGGUCUAAUACCGGAUAUGACUCCAUGACGCAUGUUGUGGGGUGGAAAGCCUUGUGCGGCUGAGGAUGGGCCCGCGGCCUAUCAGCUUGUUGGUGGGGUGANGGCCUACCAAGGCGACGACGGGUAGCCGGCCUGAGAGGGCGACCGGCCACACUGGGACUGAGACACGGCCCAGACUCCUACGGGAGGCAGCAGUGGGGAAUCUUGCGCAAUGGGCGAAAGCCUGACGCAGCAACGCCGCGUGGGGAUGAAUGCC
RNAcentral lists this ribosomal RNA (386 nucleotides) under uncultured bacterium. RNAcentral's name for it is "bacterial SSU rRNA". It matches the Rfam family "Bacterial small subunit ribosomal RNA", at positions 28 to 416 of the family's 1533-position model. The record is from RNAcentral.